UUUAUUUUGGUUAUUUUAGUGCUAUUACUAAGUUGUAUCCUUCUGUGAUAAUUUCCAAAUGCCCCUGGUUUUUCUUGAGGACGGAUAUGUAGCACCUAACAGUGCUCCAGAUACAGGAGGCCCUUCAUGCCCUCCCUUCUUCCAUUCUUACUGAUUCAAUAAUUUUUUUAGUUUUCUGAUUUUUAUUUGGGAAAAGAUUUUUCUUCUUUCUAUUGAAAUAUGGAAGUGAGGGGACAAUUAUUGCUCUUCGUAUGAGAGGUAAAAUUGCAUUUCCUUUAGUUCUGUCUAUGCCUUUCUCUUUACUUUUCUUUCAAUCAAA
This 319-nucleotide long non-coding RNA is filed under the name Pan troglodytes (chimpanzee). RNAcentral describes it as "long non-coding RNA NONPTRT017250". Lineage: Eukaryota; Metazoa; Chordata; Mammalia; Primates; Hominidae. The record is from RNAcentral.